UGGUGCCUAUUAGCGGCGGACUGGAUGAGUAACGCGUGGGUGAUCUACCUUGAGGAUGGGGAUAGCCGAUAGAAAUAUCGGGUAAUACCGAAUAAUGUUGCCAAACUGUGGUUAGGUAAAGAAAGGCGCUUUGGCGCCGCCUUAAGAUGAGCCCGCGUUCCAUUAGCUAGUUGGUGGGGUAAAGGCCUACCAAAGGCAGUGAUGGAUAGCCGGCCUGAGAGGGUGAACGGCCACACUGGGACUGAGAUACGGCCAGACUCCUACGCGGAGGCAGCAGCUAAGAAUAUUCCGCAAUGGACGAAAGUCUGACGGAGCGACGCCGCGUGUAUGAAGAAGGCCGAAAGGUUGUAAAAGUACUUUCUACGGAUGAAGAAUCAAGCGUAGGAGGGAAUGCCUAUGUCGAUAGACGCUAGUCCCGUGAAUAAGCCCCGGCUAAUUCACGUG
RNAcentral lists this ribosomal RNA (444 nucleotides) under uncultured bacterium. Its description in RNAcentral is "bacterial SSU rRNA". It matches the Rfam family "Bacterial small subunit ribosomal RNA", at positions 83 to 507 of the family's 1533-position model. The record is from RNAcentral.